UGGAUAAUCUCUGACUUGAUGUUCUAACUCAUCACACCUAUAAUAUCGAAUCUUGUUGUAGUCCCUCGACUUGAACCUGGACUGCCCAUCUUACGAUCCUCUGCUCCUUCAUCCUCUGCCAUCACCAUCUCCAGUCACCGCCAUAGUUGAGUUGCCACCUGAACUCGAAGCUCGAUUCUUUCGUCUAAGAAUCUCAUUUUGGAGAAGUACAAAAGUAACAUCAUCUAUCUUGAUGGUGCUCUUUUUCAUA
RNAcentral lists this long non-coding RNA (250 nucleotides) under Elaeis guineensis (African oil palm). RNAcentral's name for it is "long non-coding RNA (EGUI_LNC014214)". The record is from RNAcentral. Lineage: Eukaryota; Viridiplantae; Streptophyta; Magnoliopsida; Arecales; Arecaceae.